AGUGAGGAAUAUUGCACAAUGGAGGAAACUCUGAUGCAGCAACGCCGCGUGGAGGAUGACGCAUUUCGGUGUGUAAACUCCUUUUAUAAGGGAAGAAAAUGACGGUACCUUAUGAAUAAGCACCGGCUAACUCCGUGCCAGCAGCCGCGGUAAUACGGAGGGUGCAAGCGUUAUUCGGAAUCACUGGGCGUAAAGGACGCGUAGGCGGAUUGCCAAGUCUGAUGUGAAAUCCUAUGGCUCAACCAUAGAACUGCAUUGGAAACUGGUAAUCUAGAGUAUGGGAGGGGGAGAUGGAAUUAGUGGUGUAGGGGUAAAAUCCGUAGAUAUCACUAGGAAUACCGAAAGCGAAGGCGAUCUCCUGGAACAUUACUGACGCUAAGGCGUGAAAGCGUGGGGAGCAAACGGGAUUAGAUACCCCGGUAGUCCACGCCCUAAACGAUGUUCACUAGUCGUCGGGAUGCUAGUCAUCUCGGUGAUGCACUUAACAGAUUAAGUGAACCGCCUGGGGAGUACGGUCGCAAGAUUAAAACUCAAAGGAAUAGACGGGGACCCGCACAAGUGGUGGAGCAUGUGGUUUAAUUCGAAGAUACGCGAAGAACCUUACCUAGCCUUGACAUUGAAGAAACACACUAGAGAUAGAGUGGUGCCCUUCGGGGAAUCUGAAAACAGGUGCUGCACGGCUGUCGUCAGCUCGUGUCGUGAGAUGUUGGGUUAAGUCCCGCAACGAGCGCAACCCUCGUCCUUAGUUGCCAGCAGGUUAAGCUGGGCACUCUAAGGAGACUGCCUUCGUAAGGAGGAGGAAGGUGAGGACGACGUCAAGUCAUCAUGGCCCUUAUGGCUAGGGCUACACACGUGCUACAAUGGGGCGUACAGAGUGUUGCGAUACCGUGAGGUGGAGCCAAUCACUUAAAGCGUCUCUCAGUUCGGAUUGAAGUCUGCAACUCGACUUCAUGAAGCUGGAAUCACUAGUAAUCGUAGAUCAGCAAUGCUACGGUGAAUACGU
Molecule: ribosomal RNA, 1003 nt
Filed under: uncultured bacterium
Lineage: Bacteria
Description: bacterial SSU rRNA
Rfam family: Bacterial small subunit ribosomal RNA
Source: RNAcentral